This 468-nucleotide ribosomal RNA is filed under the name uncultured bacterium. RNAcentral describes it as "partial 16S ribosomal RNA". It matches the Rfam family "Bacterial small subunit ribosomal RNA", at positions 28 to 507 of the family's 1533-position model. The record is from RNAcentral.
GACGAACGCUGGCGGCGUGCUUAACACAUGCAAGUCGAACGGAAAGGCCCUGCUUUUGUGGGGUGCUCGAGUGGCGAACGGGUGAGUAACACGUGAGUAACCUGCCCUUGCCUUUGGGAUAACUUCAGGCAACUGGGGCUAUUACCGGAUAGGAGCUCCUGCUGCAUGGUGGGGGUUGGAAAGUUUCGGUGGUUGGGGAUGGACUCGCGUCUCAUCAGCUUGUUGGUGGGGUAGUGGCUUACCAAGACUUUGACGGGUAGCCGGCCUGAGAGGGUGACCGGCCACAUUGGGACUGAGAUACGGCCCAGACUCCUACGGGAGGCAGAAGUGGGGAAUAUUGCACAAUGGGAGGAAGCCUGAUGCAGCCACGCCGCGUGCGGGAUGACGGCCAUCGGGUUGUAAACCGCUUUCGCCUGAGACGAAGCGUGAGUGACGGUACUGGGUAAAGAAGCACCGGCUAACUACGUG